Molecule: long non-coding RNA, 2979 nt
Filed under: Coffea arabica (coffee)
Lineage: Eukaryota; Viridiplantae; Streptophyta; Magnoliopsida; Gentianales; Rubiaceae
Description: long non-coding RNA (CARA_LNC004515)
Source: RNAcentral
CCUCCUCUCAGCUGCUUUCUUCCUGAUGAAAAAGCCCCAUCUCAUUGCAGCCUUAAUUUUUAGCCAGCCAACAACUGCUUUCCCAGAACGGGUGCGAUCCUCAUCAUAACUGUAGUUUGGAGAUGGCGAUGGCAUGUAAGAUUGGAAAGCAAAAUUAUCAUCAGGCACAUUAACAGCUGCAUGGCCUCCCAUGCUGAAAAGUCUAAGUAGGUGUUGCAUAUCUUCAUUCUCGAGCAUCUCAUGGCUUCUCAAACGAAUUUCCUCCUCCGACAAGAAGUCAUCCACACUCUUGUCACGAUUUUGAGUCCAGUCUUCAAAAGGAUUGAGGUUGGAUGGCUGAACAGAUGACCCAACUGUCUGGAAUGAUGAUGAUGACUGUGGAGGAGCAAGGGCCAAUGCUGCCCUAUUAUCAUAUCUUGUGUUCUGAAUUUGGUGAGAACUGCUGAUUUGCUGGUCAGGUAAACCAUAUGGAGUACUACCAUAUUGAUUGCGGGAACUUGAAUUCAGAAUUUGAGACUGGUUAGCAUAUCUGGUAGCCAUAUUAUCAUUAUAACCUGACCACGAGAUAGUAGUAGUAAAGGUUACAGUAAGAUGUAAAGUGGCCAACAAAAGUAACAUUGCAUAACCACAAAACAUACCGGUAAAUGUGUAUAUGUAAAUGAAGUUGAGAGAAGAUACUACACAAUGUAAAUGGAAAAAUCAUAGGGAGGAAAAGGUAAUUAGCCCCCAGUUUUGUACCACUAGAAACCAAGAGAUCAGAACAGAAAACAUCCCUAAUGAAAUGUAUUCAAAUCUCCUCUCUUUAUUUACCCCUUUUCAAAUAGAAGAUAGACUCAUAAGCAACAAAGGAGGAGGAUUUCUCGAUCCCAAAGGAGAUAUAUAAGCCAGCAUCAAUCUUAGCACAUAUUGCCUCCAUCUCAUAUGAAUGUUUCACAUUGACUACUCACUAGGGUUCAGAAAAAGUUCAAGAUACAAAAAAACAUAAAAAGAAAAGGGGAAACAAGUUGUUCCAUACACCAGAUCAUGUCCAUGCACUAUAUCCUCUAAUACAUCCUUCCCUAGGUAUUCUUGAUAUCAUGAUUGAUGGUAUCCAAUCUUCUCACUCCAAACCACAAGCGUUGGAUCCUUUUCACCAAAUUCUGCUACAAUGCCUCAACCCUUAGGGUGGAACAUAUCAGAGAGAGCAAAGCCAUAUUAUCCUACCCAACCGGAAACAUUACCCAAGUUCUCUGAUAAAUGCAUAUACUUCAAUGUUCAGGACGGACAAAAAAUGAAAUAAGAAAAAGAAAAGAAAACAUAUGGAUCUUACAGGGCAAAGGACAAGAGAAGCUGGGAACAAGUUCAACAACAUGGAAAACAAUCAUGUUGACCUGAUAUUAUAGUUUACCCAACUCAAAUAAAAGUAAAAGGUGCCUAUGCUAGGUCCAAGAGAUUAAUAUGAAAUGUUAAUAGUUUACCUAACUGAAAUGUUACUAUGGCUUCAUUACUUUAGAAUAUGAUGCAUCUUCCCAUUAGAUUGCUUUACUUGUACAUGUUGUUCGAGAAAACAUUUGGGAAAAUGGGGUUGACAUUAGGAGAUUACAGAUGCAUAUAUCUUGUACAAAAAGCAAACCAGUCAUCCACUGCAUGCUCAAAAGGUAGCAAACCAGAUAGCAGUUCAUUUGAUAUUCUAUAAGUUGACUUUACCUCCAAUCAGCAUGUUUGGAUCCACUGGAGAUGGCUCAGAUGGAACUGGUACUGGUAAUCGGGGCGGAUCUGAAAGCUGAUUAUCCAAAGCAUUAGGAUAAUCCACUGGCCCAACUGGAAGUUCAUCCCGGGAUGCACUUGAUUUCUUAUUUUGCUUGAAGUUCAGAAGAGACUUGCCAUCAUACUCUAUAACUAGGUUCCAGUUGUCAUAUGCUUUCUUUACCAAACCAUCAACAUAUAACUACAGGUAGAAGAAAUGAAAAUUCUGUUAAUAUGCACAACUUUUGCUAUGCCAAUGAAAUUUAGAUAUUGGUAAUUUUGGGAGCUUCCCCAACCAAAUUUAGUACAGACCUUCUGGCUGUCAGAAAGUGAAUCUGCUGGAAAAUACUGUUCACUAGCUAUAAGGCCACUCAGCUCAUAGAUGUUAUUGAAGACAACACCAACAUUUCUUGAAUCAUCAGAAUAGUAUACAUAAAGCUUCCCACUUAGGACACAAGUCUUUGCAUGCUCUAUGAGGGCGUCCCACAUUUUAUUUGACAUACCACUGCCAAGAAUCUGCUCUAACACCAAAAGAAUAUGUCAAAUACCAAUAAGGCAUGUUUCUCUUAUACUGGAAGCAGGGAUAGUAUAGUAGACUUACAGUUCGCAGCUUCUGAGGGUCUGUGACCACAAGCCUAAGGAAGUGUUCAACUGAAAAUAUCCCUGCAUUGUUUAGUCUUUUAUGGAAUGAUCCAUCCUUGCCAAUCUUCUCCAAUCUCCAUACAUCAUCAUUCAACGCAGGUGGAUAAUGCUUUUUGUACACUGCAACAAGGAAAGAAAACUUUUUAACCAAUUAUCAAAGUUAACAAGCAAAUAAGUCAACCAACAAGUAUCAUCAAGCAGCCUACAUUCCCCUCUGUGAUCUUUGACAGUGAAAGCCUCAGUCUUUGCUUCACGAACUCGUAUGCCUUCACAAUAUCCUGAUGCAACCUUGAGGCCAAGUCUGAACUUCCUACUCCUUAUCCAACUUGAAUUAUCAGUGAAGGUAAGCUCUCCUAAAGUUCCCACACCUUCCUUGAGUGUCACUUGUAGAUCGCCAGUCAACAAUGGUCUCUUUCCUUCCCGCUCUUUCACAACAUGGCUUUCAAAUUCUUCUUGAGUCCAGCUUUCAUUAUCUUCAGUGUUAAAAUCACCUUCUAGCACAAUAACAUCCAGCUUAACACACGAUUCAGGUCCAGAAGUGACAACAUGCCCUGUAUUUGCGUCAAUCAAGACAACAUGAAUUGCAGCUCCCUGCUCCCCUUCUACUUUACC